Molecule: RNA transcript, 2283 nt
Organism: Triticum aestivum (bread wheat)
Lineage: Eukaryota; Viridiplantae; Streptophyta; Magnoliopsida; Poales; Poaceae
Exons: 4
Source: RefSeq, a predicted model, not a curated record
GCGCGCCACAGCGAGCGAGCGAAGGGAAAAAGGGUAAACGAGCCCGCGUCCCACCUGAAUUGCCUCCCCCUCCCCCUUCUCCCACCUCAAGAACCCUAGCCUCCUCCUCCUCCUCCUCCCACCUCAGCCGCCUCCCCCCCUCCCCGCCCCCCGCGCGCAUCCGUCCGCCCCGGAUGCGGAGGCGAGCUUCCCGACGACGGCGGCGGCGUUGGAUUCGAUCUGCAGCCGUCUGCUUCAUCCCGUUCUUCUCCAGCCGAACAGGGGCGAGUCCGUGGGGCGCCGCCGGAUGGGGAAGGAAAUGGAGCCCAGGGAGAUGGGUGGCAGCGGCUCACGCACUCCCUCCCCGAGCGAUGGUCCGGCGGAUGGACCUGGGCAUGCUGCGCCGCGGCGGUGUCCCCGGCUUUCCCAGGACGAGCAGUCCGUCGUGCCAUCGGCGCCGUCCUCGCGUGCUAAGGCACGCUAGCCACCUCCCUGCUCCGUGCCCCACACAUCUGACCCCGCCGCUAUGUUGGGAUGAUGUGCUACUGUGCAGAACAGUGCCUCGACAAACUACAUGAGGUUGGGUUGUGUGAUUGGACCCUGUUUGUGUGCCAGCAGGAAGGGACAAGCAAGAGAAAGUACUGCUAUUCCACUGGAUUUUACUUCCUUUGAUUUCACCAAACUUUGUAUUAUUAUUUUCUUCUGGUAUAGUUCUGCCAAUUUUUUUGCUUCAAUUAGCACAGGAAUAAUGAAGUGAUAUUCAUUCACUUGUUAUCAGUUCACUAUUUUGAAAUGUGAUCUUGCUUGUUACAGCCUGGUGAACAGUUUGCUCUUUUGCUGUCAAAUACUUUGUUGUUGGCUUAUUUUUGAAUACAGAUUGGAUGCCUCGCUGCAUGUUACUCCCAAGAGAAGAUCUCACUCAAGAAGUGGCCAAACUGAGGUGCCAGGUGAUUGGCAUGCUUGAGGAAGAAUACAAGCAUUGGUGCUGCAUUGAGCAACUGAUGGUUCAAAAAAAAAAAAUCAGCAGCUGGAGGUUCAGGAAGUGGAAAAGACCCCCCCCCCCCCCCCCCCAAAAAAAAACCCUGCAACUACGCCAGUUAUAUAGAUGUAUGUAUAACUGAACUUGUUGCUGCAUGAGAUCAUUAUUUUAAUUGUGAAUCCAAUUGUUCUUUAUCACCAGGCCAUGGUCCAUCUUACCCUGAAAUUAAAGCACAACCGUCUUUCUAUUGCUUUUGUCUUUACAAGUGUGUCCCUGAUGCCAUGUUGUCCAAGAUCAACAUUUUGUAGCUUCCUUAUAUAUGGCUUGCUCUCUUUCCACCAUCAUGAAACUUAAUUUGAUUUAUAUUCUGCAGGAGCUUAUUCUUAUUCUCCAUUGCUUCUAAUUUAAGUUCUGUUCUGCCUUGCUGGCCUUGAAUUUAUAUUUUCAAAUAAAAAUUUUGUGCUAAGAUUCUUUGCAUUACCUCAUUCAGGUCAUGGGAUCCAAGAAAUUAUGCAUUCAUGUUGUAGAAUCUGAAAUAGAUUGGUGAGGUUUCGCCUCACACUUGAGAACCUAUAUUAAAUACAUGAAUCCUCUUCUCUCCCUGGUUCAGAUCAAAUGUGGAGAUCAUUCGUUUUCCGCUAUGACUACUAUUUUCACCUCACAAAUGGUCUUUCCUUUUGUUGAUGUCUCGCCUCCUGUGUACUGAUAGAGGCAUAGAAAUAUGCAUGUCUUGGAUGAGAGAAAUAUGAUUGUCCAUGUAUUUUGUAUCUUGCACUUACCUCUUGCGAUUAGUUUCCCUAAAUAUAAAAGAUACGGUUUUCAGUCAUAUUGGUUUUUCGUCCUUUUUGGUAAAAGAUUCAAAGUGUGUGUAUAAUCAUUUAUAGUAGAUAGGAUAGUGCAUUCACUGAAAAUUUGUGAAAGCGUAAGUUAUCUUACUCAGGCUUGUGCUUUUGGAUUGCAGUUCAAAUUUCACCUCGGGUUGUAACAGAGAAGACCAUUGUCGAGACAUAUUUAGAGGUGGUGAAGUUGUGGGGCUUAUUUUGCUUUUUUGAUUACAUGACUAAAAUAGUGUGUAGUUUUUUUGGAAUAGCUAAUGAGUUCUCACUUUAAUUGUUCCCUGGAACACCAUUUUUAUUGGACUCAUCGGUUGGUCCACAAUGAUAGUCAAUUGUUUUAUGAUUUCCCAUUGUAGUAGGUAGAUGUUAUGUUUUUUUUCUUAUAGUUUCCCCUUCGAUUCUCAAUCUGGUCGCUGUUGAGGGUUAUGUACCUAUAUGUAUAUGUCGGGAUUCAGAUACAUGUGCUUGAUUAAUUCAUUUAUUUAUUUC